UGACUGCAUGCAUAUUGCAUUUACUGAGGUUGUGCACGUGUUCUCUAGGGGUGAUUUUCCUGUACCAGUCCAAUGCCUCCAGAGGAAGAUCAUACAUUUGCCAUUUUACUGCUUAGUACGCAUGCUUGAGCCUGCUCGCCCAACUGCUGAGAUCUUAUUCAGAAACUGCUGAUCACCAACUCCAGGUGUUUUUAUUACACAAGACAAAAACGGAAAAACAGUAACAAAUGAUUGGUUAAGCCUUUCAAAACAAAGAAGUGUAUGUGCUACAGUAUAUUUAGACCUAUUAUUCUUAAUCUUCUAAGUGGAACAUAAAAUCUUAAUGUCUA
RNAcentral lists this long non-coding RNA (329 nucleotides) under Homo sapiens (human). RNAcentral describes it as "non-protein coding lnc-MBL2-2:5". The record is from RNAcentral. Lineage: Eukaryota; Metazoa; Chordata; Mammalia; Primates; Hominidae.